UACGGAGGGUGCGAGCGUUGUCCGGAAUCAUUGGGCGUAAAGGGCGCGUAGGUGGCCCUGUCAGUCGGUGGUGAAAGCGCGGGGCUCAACUCCGCGUCGGCCGUCGAUACUGCGGGGCUGGAGCACUGUAGAGGCAGGCGGAAUUCCGGGUGUAGCGGUGGAAUGCGUAGAGAUCCGGAAGACCACCGGUGGCGAAGGCGGCCUGCUGGGCAGUGGCUGACACUGAGGCGCGACAGCGUGGGGAGCAAACAGG
Molecule: ribosomal RNA, 253 nt
Filed under: uncultured bacterium
Lineage: Bacteria
Description: partial 16S ribosomal RNA
Rfam family: Bacterial small subunit ribosomal RNA
Source: RNAcentral